RNAcentral lists this long non-coding RNA (4159 nucleotides) under Marmota monax (woodchuck). Lineage: Eukaryota; Metazoa; Chordata; Mammalia; Rodentia; Sciuridae. The record is from RNAcentral.
CUCCAUUACUGAAGAAAUACCUAGUUUAUGGGAUGAAGUGUUGCCUGGUUCUGAAAUGGAAAAGGAAGCCAAUUAAGAUUAUCAAGCUGAAUUAUGGGAUUGUGUCCUUAUCAGUGUGCUGCAGAUACCAGCUCUUACCUUCAUCUUCACUCUUGAUGCUGGUUCACACAGUGUGGACCAAGAAGCUACUAAGAAAUGGUUUCACUGUAGGGAAGCAGCACUCUUGGCACUCAGUAGCUUCCUCAUGACAAAAUGGCGGAGGGAUAACAGAAAUAGAAACCCCAGUAGUUUGCAGUUCCUGUGGAACUGAGAGACUCAGACAACAGUUAACAGUUCCCCAUGGAGAGGCAGGAGGGAGCUAAAUCACACCGUUUUUGUGUGAAAUAGUCACCCACAGUCACAGGGGACCUGCUUAACUCCCUCGGCAAACACUGGUAGCUUCCCCAGCCCUGUGUCCUCAAGAGUUUUAUGGGGGACAGUGUCCUUGAUCAGAUGUACUCAGGACACUUAUUUGAACUGGACAUGUGGUUAUUAAUUCCUGCAGUUCCUCUGGAGUCUUCGAGCCUGGGUGAGCUGUGAUUCUGUAAGACAGGAUCACACCCUGUGUACUUCCCAGCUCCCUUAGCCUUGGAACCGCAUCUUGAGGUUGUGGUCAGUGGCCUGACAACUUGAACCUUCUGACUGGGGGUGUUCUGGGGAUGCUCAGAGCUGCAUAGGCUGAAGGAAUGCUGCAUUUUGUACUCCCCACGUCUGGCAGGUUACUAAGACCCCUGGACCUCACAUUCCUAAUCUACAAAAUGGAAACAAUAAAUAUCACAUCCUAUGUUAUUCAGUUUUUAUGAGAAUUAAAAGGAAUAAUAUCUGUAGCUCAGUGGUGGAGCAUGUGCUUCCCCUGCAUGAGAUUCUGGGAGAAAAAGAAAAAAGAAAAAAAAAAGGGGGGGUGGAUUUCUACAUCCACGAAAAACCUGGUGUCAUAAUGUACUCCAUAAUGUCUCUUUUCACUUUGUUCUUCCUCAUGGAGCCUCAGUGGCCACCUGUCCUGCUGUCCUUUCUCUUGGACUCCUAAGCAGAAGGUUGUAGUAUAAUCAGGGAGAGGUCUAAAGGUGUGCUCCCUUUGAUCCUCAGAGCACUAGGUUUUCUCUAGAGGGCAAAGGCUGAGCAAUGUUAUCCCUCCUGAUGUCUGACCCUGGAGAAGGUCGAGGGUGUCACCCCUACCUCUGGGUCCUCAUUUGGACUCCUCGAGCACAAGCAUUUGAGUCUGUGCAGGAUGAAAACCAGGACGGGGAAGUGAGAGCAAUGGUGCCUCAGGUCCCCACUCAUAGCCCUUUGUCCUGGAAGCUGCCCAUGCAGUCCCAGCUUCCUGCAGGGCAGUCAGAGCGCAGGGCCUGUGGUUGUGGGGUGCAGGGAAUCCCCCUUCAUCUGCUCCUCACACUGACAGGCAUACUAUCAAAGACUGUGGGGGCUGUGUCAGUAGAGUAGGAAGCCAUCCCUGAGGGACCCCCUCUUGCCAAACACAGGAGAAUUCCACUAUCAAAAGGAAUAACUUAACUACUAAUGACUGAAACACUGACUUAGAUAAUUCUAUGAAUUCGUGUUCUUCAAGGAAAAACAAAAAAUUAGAAUGGAAGAGCUCAGAAUGGGAGAAAAGUUUUGAAAUCAUCUAUCUGAUAAGGGACUUGUAUCUAAAUACACAAGAAACCCUUACAAUUAAAUACAUCAGUUCGAAUAAUGAGCAAAGGAUCUGAAUAGAUAUUUAUCCAAAGGAGAUAAAAGGCCAACCAACAGACACAGGGAAAAAUGCUCAAUGCCUUUAGCCACCAGGGAAAUGAUAACCCAGAACAUAAGAUGCCCCUUCACUCCAUCCCGAAUGGUGGCCAUCCAGAGGAUGGAGCAAGCAGGUGCUGGUGAGGACGUGGACAGCAGGAACUGCUGGUGGCAGAGUGGAACUUCAGCAGUGCAAAGGAGUGCAGCUAUUCUGCCAAGGAGCCAACACCGUGUUGGCACGUGACUCACCCAUUCUACUCUUGGUCUGUACUCCAGAGAGAGGAAGAUGUAUGUCCACACAAAGACUUGUGUACAAGUGCUCAGAGCAGUAUCAUAAACAAGACCCCCAAAGUGAAAAGAAUGCAAAUACUGAAUCACUGAUGAAAAUCAAUAAACUAUAGAAACCCAUCAAGGGAGUGUUAUUUAGCCAUAAAAAAGAAAUGAAGUAUGUAUCUGAGCUACAAAGUAAUUGGUAAAAGAAGCCAGACACAAAGAACUGCAGAUUGCACACGCUAUUCAAGUGAGAUGCCCAGGGCAGGCAAAUGCAGAAAUAGGCAGGAACUGCUAGUGGGGUCUGCUUGCUUUUUGGUGUAGAGAAAAGUGUCUAACUCUGAUAACAGUGAUGGCUACACAACUCUGAAUAUGCUAGAAACCACUGAAUUUUACACUUAGGUUGAAUUUAUGGUAUUCAAAUUAUAUCUCAGUAAGGUUAUCUUUUAAAACUCAACAGUAAAAAAAAAAAAGUAAUGAUCCAACAACUUAAAACAGUAGAACCAAAAUCCCAGCAGAACCAGAAGACCCCAGCAGAACCAGAACUGAGGGCUCAUUUGUUAUAGGAGCAUCAGGGUGAAGUACUCAACCCACUUGCUGUGCUGGAGUACGGCUGAGUCCCAACAUGGCCAACAGAAAUGUAACAGAGUGUUGUAGUCAGCUUUUUUUGCUGCUGUGUCUAAAAGAUCUGACCAGAAACAUUUUAAAGGAGGAAAACUUUAUUUGAGGGCUCACAGUUUCAGAAGUCUUAGCCCCCAAACAGCAGUCUCCAUUCCUCAGGGCUCAAGGUGAGGCAGGACAUCAUGGCGGGAGAGUGUGGCAGGGGGAAGCAGCUCACACGGUGAUCAGCAAGCAGAGAGAAAGAGACUCCAGAUACAAAUAUAUACCACGCCCCAGGUCCCACCUCCUCCAGCCACACCCACCACUUCAGUUUCCACCCAGUUAAUCCCUAUUGUUGGGAAAAGGUAUAAUGGCAGCCACACCCCAAAACACCCCAACAUGGCGCCUGAGGAGCUUCUCUUCCUGCCUCUCCCUUUCCCGCUGGCAACAAAAACUCCUGCUGCCAAUGCUCACUCCAGCCGGCGGAAACCUUAGCCCCAAUAAGAACUGAUCUCGUGGGCUCCGGAACUGACAUCUGGAAGAACUUACCAAUAAACAGGUGACCCGUCAUUUACCUAAGCCCUGCCACCUCUCCUUAGAUCUAUGUAAGCCCACAGCCUUUUGUGAUAAAGUGGAACUUCUCCGGUGAUUUGUCAUGCGUCGCAUCUUCUUUCACCUAUCAGGGGAUUAAUUCACUGAUUGGGUUAAGACAUUCACAACCCAAUAAUUUGUCCUCUGAACCUUCUUGCAUUGUCUCAUAUGUGAGCUUUUGGGGGACAUAUCACAUCCAAACCAUCACACAGAAUCAUAUUAAAGCUGUAAGUUUUUAGUAGUCAUAUUUAAAAGGUAAAAAAGAGGGCCUGGGGGUGUAGCUCAGUUGUUGAACAUGUGUUUAGCCUGCAGGAGGCCCUGGGUUCCAUCAUACACCCAGUGGCUACACUAAAAUUAAAAACAACAACAACAACAACAAAAACCCAUUGGAGUUAAUUUUACUAACACAUUUUAUUUAAACUGAUAUUGAAGCCGAUUUAAAGGUAUGUAGUUAGUGUAGUUAGGUAAAUCAGGUCUAAUGUCAAGUACGAUAAAUAAAAUGGUGGCCAUUAUUGAGAAUGGAGUCCAGAAAAGCAGAGCAGCACUUGGGGAAAUUGAAAUGUUAAAGUCCCCAAGGCUUGGAAUCCACCCUAAGGAACUGUUAAAGAAGCAGCUCGCAGCAAACAGGGAGGUGCUAAUCCAAACCGGCUCCAGGCCCUUCCUGCCCAGGUUACUCCUUCAGCCCACCUAUCUCCCACCUUUGGGCCUCCCACCUGCAUUCUAUCACUUCAGGAUAAAGGGAAACAAAGGAUAAGAAUGUGGGAAAACUAAAAGAAGACCUUAGCUAUAAAAAAGGGAAGAUCUUGCCUUCCACGGAUUCAGCCUUUCAGUCUUCGGGUCCCCUUCUUCCUCUGGGAGAAGUCUUUUCUGCUGUCCUUUAAUAAAGCUCCCACUGUCCACUCUACUCUUGCCUCCUCAUGCUUCUCUGGUGUUG